GCCGAGGUAGCUCAGUGGUAGAGCAGCCGAUUCGUAAUCGGCAGGUCGCGGGUUCAAGUCCCGCCCUCGGCUCCA
RNAcentral lists this transfer RNA (75 nucleotides) under Nitrospira sp. RNAcentral's name for it is "tRNA-Thr". It matches the Rfam family "tRNA". Rfam says of the family: Transfer RNA (tRNA) molecules are approximately 80 nucleotides in length. Their secondary structure includes four short double-helical elements and three loops (D, anti-codon, and T loops). RNAcentral also lists the same sequence under 6 other names. Lineage: Bacteria; Pseudomonadati; Nitrospirota; Nitrospiria; Nitrospirales; Nitrospiraceae. The record is from RNAcentral.